AUCGCUUCUCAACUUUUGGCUAAAAUCAAGGGUAGUAUCUGUUCUUAUCAGUUUAAUAUCUGACAUGUCCUCUAUCUGAAGACAUAAAUGAAUUUUUGGAUCUAGAGGUUGAAAUAAGAUCUUGUUUCAUCCACUCCACACAUUGACCUGGUAUAUUGCAGUACCACCAGGUAUGGUACACCAAAA
Molecule: small nuclear RNA, 186 nt
Organism: Sorex araneus (European shrew)
Lineage: Eukaryota; Metazoa; Chordata; Mammalia; Eulipotyphla; Soricidae
Product: U2 spliceosomal RNA
Exons: 1
Source: RefSeq, a predicted model, not a curated record